GACGAACCGUGCGAACGUUGUUCGGAAUCACUGGGCUUAAAGGGCGCGUAGGCGGCCGCACAAGUCAGGGGUGAAAUCUUUCGGCUCAACCGGAAAAGUGCCUCUGAUACUGUGCGGCUCGAGGGAGGUAGGGGCGGACGGAACUUCCGGUGGAGCGGUGAAAUGCGUUGAUAUCGGAAGGAACGCCGGUGGCGAAGGCGGCAUUCUGGACUGUAACUGACACUGAGGAACGAAAGCCAGGGGAGCAAACGGG
Molecule: ribosomal RNA, 253 nt
Filed under: uncultured bacterium
Lineage: Bacteria
Description: partial 16S ribosomal RNA
Rfam family: Bacterial small subunit ribosomal RNA
Source: RNAcentral